This 282-nucleotide ribosomal RNA is filed under the name Triticum aestivum (bread wheat). RNAcentral describes it as "partial small subunit ribosomal RNA". Lineage: Eukaryota; Viridiplantae; Streptophyta; Magnoliopsida; Poales; Poaceae. The record is from RNAcentral.
AUGCAAGCGAUCGCCAAGUUCGCGACAUGCAACUCCACCAAUUUCCAGGCGCUCAACACAGCUGUCAUGAUCCUGCUACCCAAGUCUGAAGGGGCCUCGCAACUGACUGAUUUCAAGCCUAUUAGUUUGAUCCACAGCGUCGCCAAACUUAUCGCCAAGAUCCUUGCCAGGCGACUGCAGGCGGUGAUCGAUGGCCUGGUGGCGCCUUGCCAGAGUGCGUUCAUCAAGCGGCGCUCCAUACUUGAUAAUUUCAUGUAUGUCCAGGCGAUGAUCAAGACCCUU